This 537-nucleotide ribosomal RNA is filed under the name Salmonella enterica. RNAcentral's name for it is "partial 23S ribosomal RNA". It matches the Rfam family "Bacterial large subunit ribosomal RNA", at positions 1200 to 1735 of the family's 2925-position model. Lineage: Bacteria; Pseudomonadati; Pseudomonadota; Gammaproteobacteria; Enterobacterales; Enterobacteriaceae. The record is from RNAcentral.
CUGCGGCAGCGACGCUGAUGCGUUGUUGGGUAGGGGAGCGUUCUGUAAGCCUGCGAAGGUGGCCUGUGAGGGUUGCUGGAGGUAUCAGAAGUGCGAAUGCUGACAUAAGUAACGAUAAAGCGGGUGAAAAGCCCGCUCGCCGGAAGACCAAGGGUUCCUGUCCAACGUUAAUCGGGGCAGGGUGAGUCGACCCCUAAGGCGAGGCCGAAAGGCGUAGUCGAUGGGAAACGGGUUAAUAUUCCCGUACUUGGUGUUACUGCGAAGGGGGGACGGAGAAGGCUAUGUUGGCCGGGCGACGGUUGUCCCGGUUUAAGCGUGUAGGUGUGUGUUCCAGGUAAAUCCGGUUCACUUUAACACUGAGGCGUGAUGACGAGGCACUACGGUGCUGAAGCAACAAAUGCCCUGCUUCCAGGAAAAGCCUCUAAGCAUCAGGUAACAUCAAAUCGUACCCCAAACCGACACAGGUGGUCAGGUAGAGAAUACCAAGGCGCUUGAGAGAACUCGGGUGAAGGAACUAGGCAAAAUGGUGCCGUAACU